Molecule: ribosomal RNA, 492 nt
Filed under: uncultured bacterium
Lineage: Bacteria
Description: partial 16S ribosomal RNA
Rfam family: Bacterial small subunit ribosomal RNA
Source: RNAcentral
AGUGAACGCUGGCGGUAGGCCUAACACAUGCAAGUCGAACGGCAGCACAGUAAGAGCUUGCUCUUACGGGUGGCGAGUGGCGGACGGGUGAGGAAUACAUCGGAAUCUACUUUUUCGUGGGGGAUAACGUAGGGAAACUUACGCUAAUACCGCAUACGACCUACGGGUGAAAGCAGGGGAUCUUCGGACCUUGCGCGAUUGAAUGAGCCGAUGUCGGAUUAGCUAGUUGGCGGGGUAAAGGCCCACCAAGGCGACGAUCCGUAGCUGGUCUGAGAGGAUGGUCAGCCACACUGGAACUGAGGCACGGUCCAGACUCCUAAGGGAGGCAGCAGUGGGGAAUAUUGGACCAUGGGCGCAAGCCUGAUCCAGCCAUACCGCGUGGGUGAAGAAGGCCUUCGGGUUGUAAAGCCCUUUUGUUGGGAAAGAAAAGCAGCAGGUUAAUACCCCGCUGUUCUGACGGUACCCAAAGAAUAAGCACCGGCUAACUUCGUG